RNAcentral lists this ribosomal RNA (119 nucleotides) under Erinaceus europaeus (western European hedgehog). The record is from RNAcentral. Lineage: Eukaryota; Metazoa; Chordata; Mammalia; Eulipotyphla; Erinaceidae.
GUCUACGGCCAUACCACUCUGAACACGCCCAGUCUCAUCUGAUCUCAGAAGCUAAGCAGGGUCGGGCCUGGUUAGUACUUGAAUGGGAGACCGCCUGGGAAUACCAGGUGCUGUAGGCU